AUGGAUAUUCUUCACGAAGCAUGAAAAGAAGGGAAGGUGUUUUUUCGCCGAAGGCUCAAAAACGGUAUGUACGUAAAGUUUCAUGCAUCGUAAAGAAUUACAAACAAUUUAUAUAUUACAUUCAAAACUAUAAAAUAUUACACACUUUGUUCAGCAAAUAUUACAUCAAUAUUCCAAAUGUUUUUACAACAAUAGUUAUUCUUCUUUUAAAACUGCUUCCGCAGCUUCGUUUAGUAGUUGAGUCACAGCUUCGUCCAUAAUAGCUUCGGCCAUCUUAGUAACUUCAUCUUCCUUUUUUGCUUCGGGGUCGGCCAAUGACUCGAAGGGCUCCGGGGGAGGAGACAGUUCAGCUGUGAUACAAAACAUAAAUAAGUUCGAAGUCACAAAAAUAAAAAGCAUAAAUGUCGGGGACCAUAAUUAGGGGUACCCUCAAGACGCCUAAUUCUCAGCUGGUAACCCCCAUCAGCAUAAAGUUGCAGAGGCCUGAUGGGUGCGAUUAAGUCAGGGAUCAGUCCAUACGAGUGACUCGAUCACGCUUCGCCCGAGCCUAGCCUCGGACAAGGGCAGCCGACCUCGAGGGACUUCCGUCUCGCCCGAGGCCCCCCUUUUUAACGGCGGACACAUCUCCGGCUUGCCCGAGGCCUUGGCUUCGCUAAGAAGCAACCCUGACUAAAUCGCCGCACCGACUGACCGAGUUGCAGGAGCAUUUAACGCAAAGGUGGCCUGACACCUUUAUCCUGACGCGCGCCCCCCGGCAGAGCCGAGGUGACCGCCGUCACUUCACUGCUCCACUGACCAGUCUGACAGAAGGACAGCGCCGCCUGCGCCACUCCGACUGCAGUGCCACUCGACAGAGUGAGUCUGACAGGCAGUCAGGUCUUGCCAAAGGCGCCAUAGGAAACUCUGCUCCGCCCGACCCCAGGGCUCGGACUCGGGCUAAGACCCGGAAGACGGCGAACUCCGCUCCGCCCGACCCCAGGGCUCGGACUCGAGCUAAGACCCGGAAGACGGCGAACUCCGCUCCGCCCGACCCCAGGGCUCGGACUCGGGCUAAGACCCAGAAGACGGCGAACUCCGCUCCGCCCGACCCCAGGGCUCAGACUCGGGCUAAGACCCGGAAGACGGCGAACUCCGCUCCGCCCGACCCCAGGGCUCGGACUCGGGCUAAGACCCGGAAGACGGCGAACUCCGCUCCGCCCGACCCCAGGGCUCGGACUCGGGCUAAGACCCGGAAGACGGCGAACUCCGCUCCGCCCGACCCCAGGGCUCGGACUCGGGCUAAGACCCGGAAGACGGCGAACUCCGCUCCGCCCGACCCCAGGGCUCGGACUCGGGCUAAGACCCGGAAGACGGCGAACUCCGCUCCGCCCGACCCCAGGGCUCGGACUCGGGCUAAGACCCGGAAGACGGCGAACUCCGCUCCGCUCGACCCCAGGGCUCGGACUCGGGCUAAGACCCGGAAGACGACGAACUCCGCUCCGCCCGACCCCAGGGCUCGGACUCGGGCUAAGACCCGGAAGACGGCGAACUCCGCUCCGCCCGACCCCAGGGCUCGGACUCGGGCUAAGACCCGGAAGACGACGAACUCUGCUUCGCCCGACCCCAGGGCUCGGACUCCGCCCUGGCCACUGCCGAACGACCUCCGCCUCGCCCGACCCAGGGGCUCGGGCUCGGCCUCGGCAACGGAAGACAGAUUCGACCCCAGCUUCGGAGGAGCCCCCACGUCGCCCGGCCUCGGGCGCGGGCCCACCACGUCAACAGGGAGCGCCAUCGUCACCCUACCCCGAGCCGACUCGGGCCGCAGAGAACAAGACCGAUGUCCCAUCUGGCCAGCUCCGCCAGAUAGGCAAUGAUGGCGCCCCGCGUGCCCUGUGACGACUGCGGCUCUCAGCCUCCUUACGGAAGCAGGGGGACGUCAGCAAAGACUCGACCGCUCCGACAGCUGUCCCUCCGCCAAGCUCCGUUGCUCCUCCGACAGCCACGACAUCACACCAGCAGGGUGCCAAGAUCUCUCCGGCUGCCACAUUGGCAUGUACUUAGGGCGCUAGCUCUCCCUCCGCUAGACACGUAGCACUCUGCUACACCCCCCAUUGUACACCUGGAUCCUCUCCUUACGACUAUAAAAGGAAGGACCAGGGCCUUCUUAGAGAGGGUUGGCCGCGCGGGACUGAGGACGGGACAGGCGCUCUCUUGGGGCCGCUCGCUUCCCUCACCCGCGUGGACGCUUGUAACCCCCCUACUGCAAGCGCACCCGACCUGGGCGCGGGACGAACACGAAGGCCGCGGGAUCUCCACCUCUCUCACGCCCGUCUCCGGCCACCUCGCCUUUCCCCCCUUCGCGCUCGCCCACGCGCUCGACCCAUCUGGGCUGGGGCACGCGGCACACUCACUCGUCGGCUUAGGGACCCCCCGGUCUCGAAACGCCGACAAUAAAGUUAAAAACAAUUAGGCAAUACCUAUCCGUCUCUCGAGUUCUGCAGCUUUCUCAGCUGCCUUCGCUGCUUCUCUCGUAUCAUGAGUAUCUUUUUCGCUCUUUUUUAUUAUCUCAUGGGCCAUCCCUCGGCCGCCAUUUUCCCAAACGUCAGUAAAGAAUUUUCCGCCAACUAAGCUUGCUUCGGUCGAGGGAUCCUUCGUGUCAUCAAUAGAGAAAGCAGCUUCAGCUUGGGCCAGAAUGUUCACAUGUUCGCAUCCUGCUUUCUCCAAAAUGGAUGCGACUCCUCUUGCACCAGAAAAGGCGCAUACGUCCCCACGACCACUCAAAACUUCCUCAAAAGCUUUGGCUUCGCCGCUGAUCCAUUCAAUUGGACCUUCGGGAUCGCCCAGUACGAAGUUGUCUUCAUUUGAGUAUGCGCCAAUAUUGGCGAAGCUAGUUUUUAUCUUUUCUACACAUGCUACAGAUUUUCCAUAGCAUCUUUCUUUUGAAGAGCGAAGCUCUACAACUAUUUUUUCCCAGUAAUUUUUCCAGUAGUCACUGGCGUCUCGGUCAGCUUCGGCAAUAGCACACUUUAAUUUUGCCUCUGCCAGCUAUUUCUGAAGAUCCUCAAUUUCGCUUCUCUGGGCUUCAGCCUGGGCUUUGGAAGUAGCUUCGUCUUCUUUUAUUUUGUUCAACAUUGAGUUUAAAAUCUUAUCUUUUUCAAGACCUUCGUUCCUUAGUUCAAUUACUUCGGAAUGAAGGUUGUUCAAAGCUAUAGUACAUCCUUCAUCUUCGGCACUUUUUUGUGCCCUGAGGGCGUUGCUAAGAAUGAGGCUCUGCGAAAGAAGUGUGGAAUUAAGUAUAAGCAAAUAAAACAAAUCUUGGUUUUUUAAUAUAAAAAAAAUUCAUUCUCAUACCUUUAGGCUAUUAUAUGCUAAGCUGUCCGCCAGUUCAUCUUUCGAUAGCACCGAAAGCCCAUCUUCUAGCGUCGGGAAUCCGAAGCUUUUGCCCAUCUCCCGGCAGACAGAAAUUUCCUUGCUGUCUGGGAGACAAUACAAGAAAUCUUUUUCCCCGCUGUCAUUGAAUAUUAAUGCCCCCUUUGGAUAUUUUAAUUUCUAGGCAUAAUAUUCAGCUUAUCGUUUUUUCUCUUCAGAUAACCUUUUUCCCGAAGCAUGUCGUACAAUAUAAUCGAGAGCUUCGGAAGAUGCUUCGGGAAUAGGAAUGGCAGUUUUUUCAGACAAAAUUUGUUCUGCAGCUUCUUUUUCCGUUUCUUCUUCUCCGAUUUCCAAUGAUUUCUCCUUGGCGGGCUCUGAAGGCGCAGCUUCGGUCUCGGCCUGGCUCCUGACAGCCUCGGCUUUGGAUAGUUUUGCCUUAAUCUGUGUUUUUGAAGCUUCGACAGUCUUCUUCGGAGUAGAGCUUGAAGUUUUUAUCGUUUCUAGCAUAUCUAGUACGUUGACCAUCCUUUUCCUCUUAGGAGUCGUUGUAUGCUCCUUUUGCGCCUUCGGCACUGUCACCUCUGCCGAAGGGCUUAUGACUUCUAAUAUCUUUGUUCUUUCGACUUCUGCUUCUUCAAUAUUAAUGGCCUUUGGCUCACCUGAUUUGGCUGGUGAUGCCUUCGGCAUCGCAACCGGAUCUUCAGCUUUCUGCGUAGCUGCGGGUUCUUUGGCUUCAGUAGCCGAAGAGGUUUCACCGCCAAAUUCAGGCACUAUGGCCGGUUCAAUAAAGCGCGAUCAGUGAGUAAGGGCUUUCACCUUUUUCCUCUUCGGCGCGGGCUCGCUUCCAGCAGCUGAAGCAUCACCUUUCCCGGAGGUUGCACUUUUUCUUUUUCGCUCCCGCGACGGGUAGCGGUAGUCAGGGUACAUGAACCCAAUAGCAUCAAAAACUCUGUUCAGUCUCUUCUUUUUCCGGCUUCCGAAGGCCGCAGAUAGCUCAUUAUCUUCCGCUUUGGAGUACGACCCAAGUAGUUCAUCACUUGUAGCUUUGACACACUUUAGCCAAUCGUCGUCUGGCUCAAUAAAUUGGUCUCCAAACCUGAAGGUAUAUUUUAGUCGAACCAAACCACCUUCGUGGGGGUUGCUGAUGGCCUCUUUCGGCAUCUCCCAGUUGGCUACCAAUGGCUAUAUCCUGUAGGCCACGUGCUCUUAGACUAAGUCCCUCGUCCCGAUGAAGGAACAAACUAUGCCAAAGGCCUUUCGGCAUUCUUCGGCUGCUUCAUCAAUUUCUACCUUCGUCUUCUGAAGCCCAAAGCGCUGCCAGAUAGGGCGCAUGAUUAUCUCUUUAAUGUCUUCUCGUGCCUUUAAAUCAUUUUUCACAUAGAACCAUUCUUUCAUCCAGUCUCCGGGCCAUCUCUUCCAAAAGGUUGGCACGGGGCAGCUUGACCCAGAGCGGGCAACGAAACUAUAGCAGCCAAAAUUGUUGUGAUACUGUUCCUUACCCCAGGGCUUCGUCUCGUAUAACAGUUCGUGCAUACUGCAGAAACUUUUUGCAUUUGGUUCCAAGCCCUGGCUCCUCACAUCCCAUACGAAGAUUCCCAUUCUUAUGAUGGCAUCGGGAGUAAUCUAGUGAAGAAAAAUCUGGAAUAUCUUUAAAACCUCAACCACAAAACUGCUUAGGGGGAACCGUAGCCCAGCCUUGAAAAAGCUUUGGAAGAUCACCACUUCAUUCUCUUCGGGAGUAGGAGCAGUCUUGUCUCCAUUGUCAGCCCUCACCAGAGACAUAUCUCGAAAAUAUCUUCCCCUCAUAUUGUCAAGAUGACUCUACUUAAUAGUUGAUUUUCCGAAGACUGUGUGACUUGGUCGCCACGGUCGAUCUUCGGAGUCCUCGCCCCCCACUUUCCACAUCAUAACUGUCACUAUCACCAGUGUCUUUAGAUAAACCUUCUAAAAUCUCCUUAGUGAUCUUCUCUGUAUUUGUCUUUGCUAUUGAUUCAAGAAACCCAAGAUUCUUCUCCUCAGAAAGACUCAGCGUCGAUUCGGUAACAACUUUUUUAUCUUCAGACAUAUUCUGAAAUGUUGGAAAAAGGUGUUCUCAAAGCCGAAGCUUAGAAAAUUUAAGAAACCAAGCAAGCGUUGGUAUGCAAGAGCUAAAAAUUGGGAAAGCAAGAGCAGAUGGCAAGAAAGCGUGCCAAAUGAGCUCGCGGUGUGCUCUUAUUUGUACGCCUAGUAUGUUGCAAGUGAGAGGGCCCCGCUUGUCAUUGACUGUUGCUAUUCUAGCAAAGGGAAGGUGUUUUUUCGGACCUUCGGCUUAAGGCCUUCGUCCAUACCGCAAUCUGAAUUUAUCAUUCUAACAAAUUAAUAUUAUGAGGGGCUACUGUUGGGGGCCUUCGGCUUUCUAAGAUCCUCAAAAACAUGAUUUAACAAUGUUUCUGGAGUAUGAUACAUGAACAGGUACCUUCGGACUUAGGUCAAAACCACAGUGUGAAGAAGCACAAAGAAUACGAAGGAUGGUGUCGGCGUUUCGAGACAGGGGGUCCCUAAGCCGACGAGUGAGUGUGCUGCGUGCCCCAGCCCAGAUGGGUCGAGCGCGUGGGCGAGCGCGAAGGGGGGAGAGGCGAGGUGGCCGGAGCCGAGCGUGAGAGAGGUGGAAGUCCCGCGGCCUUCGUGUUCGUCCCGCGCCCAGGUCAGGUGCGCUUGCAGUAGGGGGGUUACAAGCGUCCACGCGGGUGAGGGAAGCGAGCGGCCCCAAGAGAGCGCCUGUCCCGUCCUCGGUCCCGCGCGGCCAACCUCCUCUGAGAAGGCCCUGGUCCUUCCUUUUAUAGUCGUAAGGAGAGGAUCCAGGUGUACAAUGGGGAUGUAACAGAGUGCUACGUGUCUAGCGGAGGGAGAGCUAGCGCCCUAGGUACAUGCCAAUGUGGCAGCCGGAGAGAUCUAGGCACCCUGCUGGCGUGAUGUCGUGGCUGUCGGAGGUGCGGCGGAGCCUGAUGGAGGGACAGCUGUUGGAGCGGUCGAGUCCCUGCUGACGUUGUCCUGCUUCCGUAAGAGAGCUGGGGGCCGCCGUCGUCAUAGAGCUUGUGGAGCGCCAUCAUUGCCUCUCUGGCGGAGCUGGCCGGAUGAGACGUCGGUCUUGUUCUCCGUGACCCGAGUCGAUUCGGGGUGGGAUGAUGAUGGCGCCUCCUGUUGACGUGGCGGUCUGUGCCCUAGGCAGGGCGACGUGGGGUUUCCUCCGAAGCCGAGGUUGAGUCUGCCUUCUGUUGCCGUGGCCGAGCCCGAGCCCGAGCCAAGGGGUCGGGCGAGGCGAAAGUCGUUCGGCCGAGGCCAGGGCGGAGUCCGAGCCCUGGGGUCGGGCGAGGCGGAGUUUCGUCGUCUUCCAGGUCUUAGCCCGAGUCCGAGCCCUGGGGUCGGGCGGAGCGGAGUUCGUCGUCUUCCGGGUCUUAGCCCGAGUCCGAGCCCUGGGGUCGGGCGGAGCGGAGUUCGUCGUCUUCCGGGUCUUAGCCCGAGUCCGAGCCCUAGGGUCGGGCGGAGCGGAGUUCGUCGUCUUCCGGGUCUUAGCCCGAGUCCGAGCCCUGGGGUCGGGCGGAGCGGAGUUCGUCGUCUUCCGGGUCUUAGCCCGAGUCCGAGCCCUGGGGUCGGGCGGAGCGGAGUUCGCCGUCUUCCGGGUCUUAGCCCGAGUCCGAGCCCUGGGGUCGGGCGGAGCGGAGUUCGCCGUCUUCCGGGUCUUAGCCCGAGUCCGAGCCCUGGGGUCGGGCGGAGCGGAGUUCGCCGUGGCGCCUUUGGCAAGGCCGGACUGCCUGUCAGACUUACUCUGUCGAGUGGCACUGCAGUCGGAGUGGCGCAGGCGGCGCUGUCCUUCUGUCAGACUGGCCAGUGGAGCGGUGGAGUGACGGCGGUCACCUCGGCUCUGCCGGGGGCGCGUGUCAGGAUAGAGGUGUCAGGCCACCUUUGCGUUAAAUGCCCCUGCAAUUUGGUUAGUCGGUGUGGUGAUUUAGUCAAGGUUGCUUCUGAGCGAAGCCAAGGCCUUGGGCGAGCCGGUGAUGUGUCCGCCAUAAAAAGGGGGCCUCGGGCGAGACGGAAGUCUCUCGAGGUCGGCUGCCUUUGGCCGAGGCUAGGCUCGGGUAAAGCGUGAUCGAGUCACUCGUGUGGACUGAUCCCUGACUUAAUCGCGCCCAUCAGGCCUUUGCAGCUUUAUGCUGAUGGGGGUUACCAGCUGAGAAUUAGGCGCCUUGAGGGUACCCCUAAUUAUGGUCCCCGACAGUAGCCCCCGAGCCUCGAAGGGAGUGUUAGCACUCGCUUGGAGGCUUUUGUCGCACUUUUUUGCAAGGGGACCAGCCUUUCUCGGUUGCAUUUCGUUCCGGUGGGUGCGCGCGAGCGCACCCGCCGGGUGUAGCCCCCGAGGCCUCGGAGGAGUGGUUACACUCCUUCGAGGUCUUAAUACUUCGCUUAACGCUUCGGCUGGUCUGGUCGUUCCCUCAUGCGAACUGGCCGUAGCCCGGGUGCACGGUCGGGGCCCAAGCUCUCGGGCUGGUAUGUUGACGCUGUCAACGAUUUGGCCGGAGCCGGUUUUUGCGAGAGCAGCCCCCGAGCCUCUGCACAGGGCGAGAGGACGAUCAGGGACAGACUCGGCUUUUUACAUACGCCCCUACGUCGCCUUUCCGCAAGGAGGAGGGGGGAGUGCGCCAUGUUACCCUCAAUGGGCACCGAACAUGGUGUCUCCGGUGAGCUGCAAGCGGGUAAUCCGAGUGGACGUCCGUGCCCCGUUCGUUGGGGGUCGGCUAGGGGCCCAAAGGCACGCCCAAAAGUACCUGCGGGUGACUUGCCGGACCCGGUCCCCUGGCGACGGGGUCCGAGGGCUCGAUGCCUCCCUCCGAUGGGAUUCCGUUACAAGAUCGUUCCCGCUGGUCUCGGAAAUGUCCUAGGGUACCUCGGGAGCACAGCCCGAGCCUCGGUUAUGUAUCGAACGUACCCCUGGUCAUCCCUCGCUCGGUGUCUGAGGCGACUGUGAACCCUUCGGGGGCCAGCCUUCGAACCCCUGACCAGUAGUGGGUGUCGGGCCCACGCGAUCUGAGGCGACUGUUGAACCCUCGGGGGGCCAGCCUUCGAACCCCUGAUCAGUAAUGGGGGGCUCGGAGCCCGGUUCCUUCACGGAGAAGGAUCCCUUUUCGGGGUAUCCCCCUUUCCCGGUCCCUGUUGCAAGAGAUAGAGAAAGAGGAAAACGGAAAAGGAUACGAAAUCGGACGACGUGGCGUACCUUUUCUGACGCGGUUAUUACGGCGAAGGUGAAGCGUCGCGCGCUCCUCCUGCCAGAAGCGCCGCGUGUCCUGCCGCGGGUUAAUGCGACGGGGCGAGUGGUUGGCGGGGCGGCCGUUGCGCUCAUGCGAUCCGUUCGAGGAACGGGUCACGGGUGCACCGUCUUCACGCCGUGAGAGGAGGCUCUCUUGCUGUCUCAGGAUGGGACGUGAGCCUGGCUGACGACGUGACCGCUGCGCCCGCCCGCCUGCCACCGCUAUUACUGCCGGCCCACUUUCGGUCGCUUUGACCGACGCGCCAGUCUGGCGCUGUUGGGUCGCCUCGAGUCGUGGCAUAGGCUUCGCAACCGAAGAGGCGCGAUGGUGGCACAAGUGGCGGUGCGGUUGCUUGCAUGUAGCAACUGGCGCGCCGAUUGCUCGACGCGUGGGCCUGGGUUCCAAGCUGGCGUGUCAGAAGUCGGAGAAGCGCGUCCAUCUGGCGCGGUUGCAUGCCGCCUGCAUGGCUGCCCGCCCCUUCUGCCCGUUGGUCUGGGCGAAAAUGGGGAGUCGCCUGUAACCGCUGGACGGUCGUGCGCACCAUGCGCGGCGGUUUGGCUUCUUCUGCCCUGAGCCGGCUUGCAUGACAUGCGGGACCCAGCCCCCGAGUCGCAGGGGAGGGCCUUGGAGCGUGUUGGAACGGGCGGCAGCGAGCCGCCCAUCGUUCUUCAGUUACUCCGCAGGCCUUCCCCUUCGGAGGGGGGUUGUUCGUUCAUUGUGGCUGUCGAGGCCUGAACGUGUAUGUAAUUUCGGCACUGAGCCGUGUUUUUUCCUCAUUUUCGAGCACUAAGUCUCGCCUGUUUGAUUAUCUGAACCGCUUUACCAAGCAUGAGUUGCCCCGUGUCAAGGUGACGGGUGAGGUAUCCGUAUCCCGGAGGCGUAGGAAUCCCUCGGCCCGUUCGGCCUUGUUGUCUGGGGCUCCUCUAGCUUAGUUGAAGAGACCCCUCGGCCGCCCUUCGGUGGACCGAGGCCAGGGGUAGCGAUAUCAGUAUGAACAGAGGCGGAGUUGGCUCGAGAAUGGGAACCUGGUUGGCCGGAGCCUAGCCGUGUUGUCCGUCAGCGGGGCCGACGCCAAAGUCGAUCAGUCGAGGCCUCGGGUCGGGCUGGCGCCCUUGGAAGCCGGUUGACCGAGGCCCCAGGGGUAACCGGUUGAGCCGCCUGCUCGGGCCGGAUUCCCGGAGGAGCCCCUGGACCGCGGCGCCGCCCGAGGCUGGGUCGGGCUUUGCUGAAGACGUCGUCGAUGCCGAGGGUGCUACGGCUCCCUUCGGCGUGAAGACCCGAGCCUGCAGGAUCAGAUCAUCUUGUAGCGUGUGCUUUCUACGGCCGCCGAGGCCAGAAGAAAACGCCCUCGCCGCGCUUGCGAAGCUGCGUCUUUUUUCCUCCUGUUUCAAGCAUCUGGACUCUGUUGGUAACAGGGAUGUUUGAGUGAGCGAGAGUUGCUUUUCGCGGAAGGGACGAGUGAGGUAUCCGUAUCCCAGAGGCGUGGGAAUCCCUCGGCUCGGUCGGCCUUGCCGCUUACGCGUACUUUCACCCGUCCAUGAGGCCCUAUCCCCGACUUAGUCGAGAAAGCUUGAAGGACUGCUUCGGCAGGAGAGCUUCCGAACGUGAUGACUCGUUCGGUCCACGGAGUCGCUUUACCCGAGCGCAAGUUACUUAUCGCAGAAAGGGACGAGUGAGGUAUCCGUAUCCCGGAGGUGUAGGAGUCCCUCGGCUCGGUCAGCCUUGGCUGCUUACGUGUACCUCGUCGUUUCCAGGAUCCGCUUUCCGAAGUAGUCAAGAAGCACGAAAGAAAUCCUGCUAAAAAGAGAUCCUUUUUCGAGGAAAAAUUCGACGCAGAGGGGGUCUCCCCCCUUUUAGCCCCCGAGGGAGGGUCGGGCUUUGCCGAGGCUAGGCCGACCCUUCCUUGACAACUAAACUUUGCGUAGGUGCGAGGUAUAUGAACAACUUGGAAACAUCUUAAGGGUAGAAGCGACGUAGCUGUUUGAUGUUCCAAGCGUUGCCGUAGAUCUCGCCUUGAUUGCUGGCCAGCUUGUAUGUUCCGGGCUUCAGAACUUUGGCGAUGACGAAUGGCCCUUCCCAGGGGGGCGUGAGCUUGUGCCUCCCUCGGGCGUCUUGUCGCAGCCGAAGCACCAGGUCGCCCACCUGGAGUUCUCGGGACCGGACCCCUCGGGCGUGGUAGCGUCCCAGGGACUGUUGGUACCGCGCCGAGUGCAGCAAGGCCCUGUCCCGAGCUUCCUCCAGCUGGUCCAGCGAUUCCUCUCGGCUGGCUUGGUUGCUUUGUUCGGUGUAGGCCCUCGCCCUCGGGGAGCCGUACUCCAGGUCAGUGGGCAAGAUAGCUUCAGCCCCGUAGACCAGGAAAAACGGCGUGAAGCCCGUGGCACGACUCGGCGUCGUCCUUAGGCUCCAGACCACCGAGGGGAGUUCCUUCAUCCAUCGCCUGCCGAACUUGUUGAGGUCGUUGUAGAUCCGAGGCUUGAGCCCUUGUAGAAUCAUGCCGUUGGCACGCUCUACCUGCCCAUUCGACAUGGGAUGAGCCACGGCGGCCCAGUCCACCCGGAUAUGGUGAUCUUCGCAAAAAUCCAAGAAUUUUUUGCCGGUGAACUGGGUGCCGUUGUCGGUGAUGAUGGAGUUCGGGACCCCGAAGCGAUGGAUGAUGUUGGUGAAGAAUGCCACCGCCUGCUCGGACCUGAUGCUGUUCAGAGGUCGGACCUCGAUCCACUUGGAGAAUUUGUCGAUGGCGACCAGCAGGUGCGUGUAGCCCCCGGGCGCCUUCUGCAAGGGACCGACGAGGUCCAGACCCCAUACAGCGAAGGGCCAGGUGAUGGGUAUUGUCUGCAGAGCCUGAGCGGGCAGGUGUGUCCGCUUCGCAUAGAAUUGGCACCCUUCGCAGGUGCGGACAAUUCUAGUGGCGUCAGCCACCGCCGUUGGCCAGUAGAAGCCUUGCCGGAAAGCAUUUCCAACAAGGGCUCGGGGUGCUGCGUGGUGGCCGCAAGCCCCCGAGUGUACUUCUUGCAGCAGUUCCCGACCUUCGGCGAUGGAGAUGCAUCGCUGGAGGAUGCCCGAGGGGCUGCGAUGGUAGAGCUCCUCUUCGUCGCCCAGCAAGAUGAAUGACUUGGCGCGUCGCGCUACCCGCCGAGCCUCGACUUGGUCGAGGGGUAGCUCUCCUCGACGGAGAUAUUGCAGGUACGGGGCCUGCCAAUCUUGGUCUGGCGUGGCCCCGCUCUGCCCUUCUUCGACGUUCAAUGCCCCGCCCUCGGGGGCCGAGGGUACCUCGGGCUGGGCCGAGGGUGCCUCGGGCUGAACCGAGGGUACCUCGGGCUGAGCCGAGGGUACCUCGGGCUGAGCCGAGGGUACCUCGGGCUCGGGCGCGUCGUCGAGCUUGACGGAGGGUUGAUGCAGAUCCCGGGAGAAGACGUCCGGGGGGACUGUCGUUCGCCCCGAGGCUAUCUUAGCCAGCUCGUCUGCGGUUUCGUUGUAGCGCCGAGCGAUGUGGUUGAGCUCGAGCCCGAGGAACUUGUCUUCCAGGCGCCGAACCUCGUCGCAGUAGGCCUCCAUCUUCGGGUCGCGGCAGUGGGAGUUCUUCAUGACUUGGUCGAUGACGAGCUGCGAAUCACCGCGGGCGUCGAGGCGUCUGACCCCUAGCUCGAUGGCGAUCCGCAAUCCGUUGACCAGAGCUUCGUACUCGGCCACAUUGUUGGACGCCGGGAAGUGGAGGCGCAGCACGUAGCGCAAGUGCUUUCCGAGGGGCGAGAUGAAGAGCAGGCCCGCGCCGGCCCCCGUCUUCAUCAGCGACCCGUCGAAAAACAUGGUCCAGAGCUCCGGUUGGAUCGGAGUCGUUGGCAGUUGGGUGUCGACCCAUUCGGCCACGAAAUCCGCCAACACUUGGGACUUGAUGGCCUUCCGAGGGGCGAACGAGACCGUUUCGCCCAUGAUCUCCACCGCCCACUUUGCGAUCCUGCCCGAGGCCUCUCGGCACUGGAUGAUCUCCCCCAGGGGGAAGGAUGACACCACAGUUACCGGAUGGGACUCGAAGUAGUGUCGUAGCUUCCGCCUUGUCAGGAUCACAACAUACAGCAGCUUUUGAACUUGUGGGUAGCGGAUCUUGGUCUCGGACAGCACUUCGCUGAUGAAGUAGACCGGCCUCUGAACGGGCAAUGUAUGCCCUUCCUCCUGCCUUUCGACCACAAUCGCGGCGCUAACCACCUGAGUGGUCGCGGCGACGUAGACCAAGAGGGUUUCCCCGUCCGCCGGCGGCACCAAGACUGGCGCCUUUGUAAGGAGCGCCUUCAGGUUGCCGAGGGCUUCCUCGGCCUCAGGGGUCCAAACGAAACAUUCGGCCUUCCUUAAGAGGCGGUACAGAGGCAGACCUCUUUCGCCGAGGCGUGAGAUGAAACGGCUCAGGGCCGCGAGGCAUCCCAUGACCCUCUGUACCCCUUUUAAGUCCUUGAUGGGUCCCAUGCUGGUGAUGGCCGCAAUCUUCUCCGGGUUGGCUUCGAUGCCUCGCUCAGAGACGAUGAACCCUAGGAGCAUGCCUCGGGGUACCCCGAAGACACACUUCUCAGGAUUAAGCUUGACUCCUUUCGCCUUGAGACACCGGAAUGUCACUUCAAGGUCGGAGAGGAGGUCGGAAGCCUUCCGUGUCUUGACUACGAUGUCAUCGACGUAGGCCUCGACUGUGCGUCCGAUGUGUUCGCCGAACACAUGGUUCAUGCACCGCUGGUACGUCGCGCCUGCAUUCCUCAAGCCGAACGGCAUGGUGACAUAGCAGUACAUGCCGAACGGCGUGAUGAAAGAAGUCGCGAGCUGGUCGGACUCUUUCAUCCGGAUCUGGUGAUACCCCGAGUAGGCAUCGAGGAAGGACAGGGUUUCGCACCCAGCAGUGGAAUCCACGAUUUGGUCGAUGCGAGGCAGAGGGUAGGGAACCUUCGGACAUGCUUUGUUGAGACCAGUGUAGUCUACACACAUCCGCCAUUUCCCCCCUUUCUUCCUCACAAGCACAGGGUUGGCAAGCCAUUCGGGAUGGAAUACCUCUUUGAUGAACCCUGCCGCCAUUAGCUUGUGGAUCUCUUCGCCAAUCGCUCUGCGCUUCUCCUCGUCGAAUCGGCGCAGAGGCUGCCUGACGGGUCGGGCUCCGGCCCGAAUAUCCAGCGAGUGCUCGGCGACAUCCCUCGGUAUGCCGGGCAUGUCCGAGGGACUCCACGCAAAGACGUCGGCGUUUGCGCGGAGAAAGUCGACGAGCACUGCUUCCUAUUUGGGGUCGAGCCCGGAACCGAUCCGGAUCUGCUUGGUGGUGUCGCCACUGGGGUCGAGGGGGACGGCCUUGACCAUCUCCGCUGGCUCGAAGUUGCCGGCAUGGCGCUUCACGUCUGGGACCUCCUUGGAGAGGUUCUCCAGGUCGGCGAUGAGGGACUCGGACUCGGUGAGGGCCUCGGCGUACUCCACGCACUCCACGUCGCGUUCAAACGCGUGUUUGUACGUGGGGCCGACGGUGAUGACCCCGUUGGGGCCCGGCAUCUUGAGCUUCAGGUAGGUGUAGUUGGGGACGGCCAUGAACUUCGCGUAGCAUGGCCUCCCUAGCACGGCGUGGUAGGUUCCUCGGAACCCGACCACUUCGAACGUCAGGGUCUCCCUUCGGAAGUUGGAGGGUGUCCCGAAGCAGACUGGGAGGUCGAGUCGCCCGAGGGGCUGGACGCGCUUCCCAGGGAUGAUCCCGUGGAAGGGCGCAGCGCCUGCUCGGACGGAGGACGGAUCGACGCGCAGAAGCUUGAGGGUCUCGGCGUAGAUGAUGUUGAGGCAGCUGCCCCCGUCCAUCAGGACCUUGGUGAGGCUGACAUCGCCGACAACGGGGUCGACGACGAGCGGGUAUUUCCCCGGGCUCGGCACAUGGUCGGGGUGGUCGGCCCGGUCGAAAGUGAUGGGCUUGUCGGACUAGUCUAGGUAGACUGGCGCCGCCACCUUCACCGAGCAGACCUCCCGGCGCUCUUGCUUGCGGUGCCGAGCCGAGGUAUUCGCUGCAUGCCCUCCAUAGAUCAUGAAGCAGUCGCGGACCUCGGGGAACCCCCCUGCUGGGUGAUCUUCGUUCUUGUCGUUGUCGUGGGCCCUGCCACCCUCGGCGGGUGGCCCGGCCCUGUGGAAAUGACGCCGAAGCAUAACGCACUCCUCGAGGGUGUGCUUGACGGGCCCCUGAUGGUAGGGGCACGGCUCCUUGAGCAUCUUGUCGAAGAGGUUUGCACCUCCGGGGGGCUUCCGAGGGUUCUUUUACUCGGCGGCGGCGACAAGGUCCGCGUCGGCGGCGUCGCGCUUCGAUUGCGACUUCUUCUUGCCUUUCUUCUUGGCGCCGCGCGGAGCAGACGCCUCGGGAGCUUCUUCCGAUGGGCGGCCCUGGGGCUGCUUGUCCUUUCGGAAGAUAGCCUCGACCGCCUCCUGGCCGGAGGCGAACUUGGUGGCGAUGUCCAUCAGCUCGCUCGCCCUGGUGGGGGUUUUGCGACCCAGCUUGCUCACCAGGUCGCGGCAAGUGGUGCCGGCGAGGAACGCGCCGAUGACAUCCGAGUCGGUGAUGUUGGGCAGCUCGGUGCGCUGCUUCGAGAAUCGCCGGAUGUAGUCCCGGAGCGACUCCCCCGGCUGUUGCCGGCAGCUUCGAAGGUCCCAGGAAUUCCCGGGGCGCACGUAUGUGCCUUGGAAAUUGCCAGCGAAGGCUUGGACCAAGUCGUCCCAGUUGGAAAUCUGCCCCGGAGGCAGGUGCUCCAACCAGGCGCGAGCAGUGUCGGAGAGGAACAGGGGGAGGUUGCGGAUGAUGAGGUUGUCGUCGUCCGUUCCACCCAGUUGGCAGGCAAGGCGGUAGUCUGCGAGCCACAGUUCCGGUCUCGUUUCCCCCGAGUACUUUGUGAUAGUAGUCGGGGGUCGGAACCGGGUCGGGAAUGGCGCCCGUCGGAUGGCCCGACUGAAGGCCUGCGGACCGGGUGGUUCGGGCGAGGGACUCCGAUCCUCCCCGCUGUCGUAGCGCCCCCCACGCCUAGGGUGGUAGCCUCGGCGCACCCUUUCGUCGAGGUGAGCCCGACGGUCGCGUCGAUGGUGCUCGUUGCCGAGGUGGCCCGGGGCCGCAGGCGCGGUGUUGCGCGUGCGCCCGGUGUAGACCGAGGCUUCCCGCAUGAAUCGGGAAGUCGCGGCAUGAGGUUCCGAGGGAUAUCCUUGCCUCCGGGAUGCAGUGCUCUCGGCCCGCCGGGCCGCAGCACCUUCCAGGAGAUUCUUGAGUUCUCCCUGGAUUCGCCGACCCUCGGUGGUUGACGGCUCCGGCAUCGCGCGGAUGAGCAUCGCUGCGGUUGCCAGGUUCUGACCGACCCCGCUGGAUGCGGGGGGCGGCCUGAUCCUGACAUCGUUGGUGACGCGGUGCUGGAGACCUUGGGGCAGAUGAUGUAUUUCUCCGGCCAGGGGUUGGCCCACCCAUGCCUGUCCGACGUCCCGACGGAUCGGCUCAAGCGCUCCUGUUCCCUCGUUGAGCCUGGCCUGCGCCUCGCGGACUUGCUCGAGUUGUGGGUCGUAACCCCCCGCCGGAGCGGGGACCACAGCUAGCUCCCGUGGGAUGUCGGCGCGAGGCACCGGCCUGGGGAGGUCACCAUCCUCCGGCAUGCCAAGAUGGUUGCCUUCGGUGGGAUCCCCUAGCUCGAUGUGGAAACAUUCGCGGCUUGGGCCACAGCUCUCGUCGCCAAGGCUGCGGCUUCCAUCGGAACAGUCGGAUAGACAGUAGUCACAUGCGGUCAUGAAGUCCCGCACGGCACUGGGGUUGCCAAGUCCGGAGAAAUCCCAACCGAUGCUGAGAUCGUCAUCUUCCUCGGACCCAGAGGGCCCGUAGGUCGAGACGUCCGUCAGUCGGUCCCAAGGUGACCGCAUACAGAACCUCAGUGGGGUUGCACUCGCCUCAAUGAGAGCGCCCGCCAAAACGAGGUCGUUUGGCGGGUUGAGGCCGAGUCGAAAUGACGCAAGAUGGGAGUUAGUCGUUACCUUUUGGUCGACGAGGAGCGACGUAGUCACACCGGGGACUGGUUGCGCCGUCAUCCCUGGUUCGAGGGCGACGUCCUGCAGGCUUUCCGCGAGCGCGCCGGCGUCGUCUUCUCGCUCAAGGUCAGCGUGCCGCGGGGGGACGGCGCUCGCCUCCGUCUCGAACGCGAGGUCGACGUCCGGCGUGCCUUCCGUCGGGGCGUCGGGGGCGUCGAUUCGCUCGACGGCCGACGAAGCGCGGCCUCCCGUCUGGCCUUGACGGCUCCGCCUCCUCCUCCGUUGGCGGGGGAGAGAACGGAGCGAGCCCGAAUACUGCUCUUCCACCACGCGGGGAAGACGUCGUCGAUUCCGCCGCCGGCGGGCGGGUCGUCGGCCGCUGUUGUCGUAGUCGCGCGGCGGUGGAAGAAGUGUCAUGUCGUAGCUGCCGUCGAAGGACAUGAACUCGAGAGUCCCGAAACGAAGCACCGUCCCGGGCCGGAGAGGUUGCUGGAGACUGCCCAUCUGGAGCUUGACGGGGAGCUGUUCGUCAGCACGCAGCAGGCCCCUACCUGGCGCGCCAACUGUCGGUGUUUCGAGACAGGGGGGUCCCUAAGCCGACGAGUGAGUGUGCUGCGUGCCCCAGCCCAGAUGGGUCGAGCGCGUGGGCGAGCGCGAAGGGGGGAGAGGCGAGGUGGCCGGAGCCGAGCGUGAGAGAGGUGGAAGUCCCGCGGCCUUCGUGUUCGUCCCGCGCCCAGGUCAGGUGCGCUUGCAGUAGGGGGGUUACAAGCGUCCACGCGGGUGAGGGAAGCGAGCGGCCCCAAGAGAGCGCCUGUCCCGUCCUCGGUCCCGCGCGGCCAACCUCCUCUGAGAAGGCCCUGGUCCUUCCUUUUAUAGUCGUAAGGAGAGGAUCCAGGUGUACAAUGGGGAUGUAACAGAGUGCUACGUGUCUAGCGGAGGGAGAGCUAGCGCCCUAGGUACAUGCCAAUGUGGCAGCCGGAGAGAUCUGGGCACCCUGCUGGCGUGAUGUCGUGGCUGUCGGAGGUGCGGCGGAGCCUGAUGGAGGGACAGCUGUUGGAGCGGUCGAGUCCCUGCUGACGUUGUCCUGCUUCCGUAAGAGAGCUGGGGGCCGCCGUCGUCAUAGAGCUUGUGGAGCGCCAUCAUUGCCUCUCUGGCGGAGCUGGCCGGAUGAGACGUCGGUCUUGUUCUCCGUGACCCGAGUCGAUUCGGGGUGGGAUGAUGAUGGCGCCUCCUGUUGACGUGGCGGUCUGUGCCCUAGGCAGGGCGACGUGGGGUUUCCUCCGAAGCCGAGGUUGAGUCUGCCUUCUGUUGCCGUGGCCGAGCCCGAGCCAAGGGGUCGGGCGAGGCGGAAGUCGUUCGGCCGAGGCCAGGGCGGAGUCCGAGCCCUGGGGUCGGGCGAGGCGGAGUUUCGUCGUCUUCCGGGUCUUAGCCCGAGUCCGAGCUCUGGGGUCGGGCGGAGCGGAGUUCGUCGUCUUCCGGGUCUUAGCCCGAGUCCGAGCCCUGGGGUCGGGCGGAGCGGAGUUCGUCGUCUUCCGGGUCUUAGCCCGAGUCCAAGCCCUGGGGUCGGGCGGAGCAGAGUUCGUCGUCUUCCGGGUCUUAGCCCGAGUCCGAGCCCUGGGGUCGGGCGGAGCGGAGUUCGUCGUCUUCCGGGUCUUAGCCCGAGUCCGAGCCCUGGGGUCGGGCGGAGCGGAGUUCGCCGUCUUCCGGGUCUUAGCCCGAGUCCGAGCCCUGGGGUCGGGCGGAGCGGAGUUCGCCGUCUUCCGGGUCUUAGCCCGAGUCCGAGCCCUGGGGUCGGGCGGAGCGGAGUUCGCCGUGGCGCCUUUGGCAAGGCCGGACUGCCUGUCAGACUUACUCUGUCGAGUGGCACUGCAGUCGGAGUGGCGCAGGCGGCGCUGUCCUUCUGUCAGACUGGCCAGUGGAGCGGUGGAGUGACGGCGGUCACCUCGGCUCUACCGGGGGCGCGUGUCAGGAUAGAGGUGUCAGGCCACCUUUGCGUUAAAUGCCCCUGCAAUUUGGUCAGUCGGUGUGGUGAUUUAGUCAAGGUUGCUUCUGAGCGAAGCCAAGGCCUUGGGCGAGCCGGUGAUGUGUCCGCCAUAAAAAGGGGGCCUCGGGCGAGACGGAAGUCUCUCGAGGUCGGCUGCCUUUGGCCGAGGCUAGGCUCAGGUGAAGCGUGAUCGAGUCACUCGUGUGGACUGAUCCCUGACUUAAUCGCGCCCAUCAGGCCUUUGCAGCUUUAUGCUGAUGGGGGUUACAAGCUGAGAAUUAGGCGCCUUGAGGGUACCCCUAAUUAUGGUCCCCGACAGAUGGCGCAGAGCCUAAGCUAUGUGCAGGGGAGCUUCGGCGUGAUGGCAGAAAAGGAAACCGACCUAAAGGGAAAAAGGCUAUUUAGACCCCGAUGGAUUACUAUAGAGUUAUUAGCAAAUGUAAAGGGCAUGGGUGUAAUUUUACAUGGGCUGCGUCCCAUGCCUAUAAAUAGAUGAACAGUGUUCCCGUACUGUUCAUGCUGACUUGGCAUUUGCUUUUGCGUCACGUUUGUACUUUUGCCUUCUCUCAAGCCGAAGGUACAUUUGUAAUUUGUUAUCAUUUCUAUUUUUCUAUAAUAAUAAAAUAGAAAUGAGUUAAUAAUAAUAUUUAAGUGUUUACAUUAUUUCUUAUACUUUAUAUGAAUCCUUCUUCAUUUUUUGUUGUUCCUAUGAAGGUAUGUCCUUCAUAACCUUCGUCCGAAACUCAUUAUAUCCCAAGGGAAAUAAUGCUUCGGAGGACGAAGAACUUUAACGUUUAACAAUUUCUGUGUUGCCUUGUUCUUAAUUCAUAGCAUUUAAGAACAAGUCCCCAACACUUACAUCACUCUCCAUGUUAUGAAUUAGAUUUGUUCCCAUUAUCUUAAGGAAUUAACUAUGCUUGUUUCAUAAGUUAAAACUAAGCAUAUAUCAUGGAAUAAUCUAGUUCAUAUUAUGAAGUUUCCAUGCUUUAGUAAUCCACUUUUCAUUCCUUGUCAAAAUGAUUACAAAAAGGGAAACUCAUGCUUGUGUUACUAAUGACAUAUCUCUUGAGCUUACUUAUGAAAAUCUACAAGAAAGUAAGUGCAAGCCACGAGCCUCAAGGGUUGCUCUUCACCCAAAAGAAGAAAGGUAAAAGCAAAGGUAUGGGAACUCAUCUUCUUAAUCAAAUAUAGUUCCCAUCAAUGGUUAUUUACUCUAACUUAUCAUAUUCUACCUAUGUGAAGAAUAGAUUCUUUAUUGGACUUAAAUGAGCUAGAUGUGCAUUCAAUCUCGUUCUCAUAAAUACACUUGUCCAUUAGAAUCUAAUUCAUGCCUUUGCUAUAUCUGUUCUCAUAUUGAUAUGCUUUUAAGAUGUGAUAAUAAAUUCAAUAUGAAGAAGUAAAUUUCCUUGAUUGAUCAAAAUGUUUAAAAGAUGUAUAUUCCUCUUUUCUAAUGAUGUGCACUAACGUUAAGGAAUUUACUUCAUAUAUAUGUGAAUUAUGGAUGAUGAAUUGCAUUUAUUUCCUAUUUAAAGAAAUCAUCCUUCAUUAUAUACUCUCUUGUGCUAUUAACAUCUUUCUUGAGUAUUUUCAUAAGUUUGGAAGGAAAAAGAAGCCACUGCAAAGGGAGGACUCUCAAAUGAAAAAGGAGGACAUCAAGAACAACACCACCUAUUUCUACAAAACAAUCAAUGUUGUGGUUGUGAGUACUCUAAAUCCUUUUCAUUGUGAGAAUAUCAGGCAUAAGGUGUUUAUUGCAAAUCUUAUAAGUCUUGAUCAAGAUGAAUAAUGCUUCUCCCUAUUUGUUUUAAAAGUGAGUACAUCUAUCCAAUUCAUUCAAUUUCUUGAUGCAUAUCUUUAGGGGGGGGGCCUAUUUCUAUAUCUUGAUUAUAUUGAGACUAACACUUUAUCUUAGUAAUCUCAUAUCGUCUCAUGUAUGAGAACAAUUUUCUCAUGAAGUAUGCUACUACAUAUCAAUCCAUCUUGGUAAAAUAAUGUCACCUUUAUCAAGGAUUGUAGCUUUCAUUGUUAAAGUAGCAUAUUUACUGGAUUUUCCCGCUUUAAGCUAGUUUAAUGAUCUAAUGCCUAUGUUGUUCUUUUGAUCGCAUCUGUUGUUUGUUUGAUCAUUGAAUAACUUAAAUUAACACUUAUGCCUCUUGGUGCCUCAUAAUUUCAAUCAAUAUCUCUCUUGAUAUGCACUAAGUUAAAAGGAGAAUUCAUGAUUUAUUUAUGCAAUUUGUGAUCUACUUGAUAUAUAAUAACAUGACUUAGAAAAGGAUCACUAGUUGUAGAACUCUCUCGUGUGCAAAAUAUUUCCAUACACUGUCUUGAUUAUAAGUCUUAAGUAACUAAGACUAAGGUUAAAGCACAAUGAAGAGAGCGUCUCUAUGUGAAGGUACAAAAGGGUAAAACUACUUCCUCUCAUUUAUAAAUGUACCUAAAUCUUCUAUACAUUCCUUGCAUAUCUUGUAUAAAAGAAAGAGAAAGCAUGUCAAUGCAUUAUCCUUGCUUCAUACCUAGUUCAACCUCUCAAAAAUUUUCAUUCUUGCAUUAAUGCACUUUUGUUGCAACUAGGUGAAGUGAUUUUAUUGUCAAAGAGCUUAAAGCUUAACCUUGUAAUGAGGAUAAGCUACCUUUGUUUCAAAGGUGGAGGGUCCUUACGUCUCUUUGAAAUCCUUAAGGGUAAAUGCUUAAAAUGAUUCCAACAUGCUUUCAUAAGUGCAUAGUCUGUCAUGAGCAUCACACUUUUAUUAUGACACUUUGCACUUCACAAAUUUCUAUGAUAUAGAUAUGUUCUCAUUAACCUAAUUAUGUGCACUUGGCAUUUAAGGCCAAAAUCUCUAUUCCUCUCAAGGCACAUAUUUAGGGGGAGCAAUCUAUAUUAUAUAGAACUGUUUAAGCUUAAUUGACAUAUCCUUUUAAUCAUGUCCCUUUCCUUUGGUACAUUUGCAUAUUUUCUAUCUCUAUUAUGCCAAGGCUAAGACUAAUAUGUUUCCAUGAGCAUCUCAUGUAUUAAGUCUUAGAUUGAAAGGGAAAUGGAGUAUUCGGCAAAUACAUCGCUUCCACUCUACAUCUUCGGUAUUAUCCUUCCUUGCCAGUAUUCCGUCAGCUCUCCAAUUUGGUAUAAUCUUCACUUAUAUAUUGUUUGCCAAAGGGGGAGAGAAAGUAAAGAAGGGCUUAUAUUUCACUCACAAGUAUCCGUUUUUGGUGAUUCAUGCCAAAGGGGGAGAAAGUAUUAGCCCAAAACAAAAGGAUCGCACCACCACCAAUUUCAAUUGGUAUAGUAUUAGCCCAAAGCAAAAGGACCGCACCACCACCAAUUUCAAAAUUUGUAGUCUUUCAAUUUGUAUUAAAGAAGUGUUGUUAAAGAUUUUCAAAUUGGUAUCUUAUUUUUGAUAUAAUUUCAAAUUGGUAUAACCUCUUCAAAAUUAAUAUCUAAAACCCUCUUGAACACUAAGAGGAGAAUUUCAUUGAGGGGGAGUUUUGUUUAAGUCAAAGGAAAUGCAUUUGAAACAGGGGGAGAAAAAUUUUAAAUCUUGAAAAUGCUUCGUUCAAAUCUUAUUCUUAUACCUUUGACUAUUUGCAAAAGGAUUUUGAAAAGAAUUUUACAAAGGAUUUGCAAAAACAAAACUUGUGGUGCAAAUGUGGUCCAAAGUUUUAAAUAAGAAGAAAACCAUUUAUGCAUAUCUAUUGAAAUAAUUAUAUUGGUUUAAAUUCCAAGCAACCUUUGCACGUACCUUAGGCAAACUAGUUCAAUUAUGCAUUUAUAUGUUUGCUUUGGUUUGUGUUGGCAUCAAUCACCAAAAAGGGGGAGAUUGAAAGGGAAAUAGGGUCAAACCUUUUCCUAAAUGAUUUUGGUGGUUGAAUUGGCCAACACAAAUAAUUGGACUAACUAGUUUGCUCUAGAUUAUACAUUCUACAGGUGCCAAAGGUUCAACACAAACCAGCAAAAAGAACAAGUUAGCCUUCAAAAGAAAGGAGCAAAAAGGAAACCGAAGUGUGCCCUGGUCUGGCGCACUGGACUGUCCGGUGUGCCACCAGACAGUGUCUGAUGCACCACCGGACAGUGUCCGGUGCACCAGGGUGUAUCAGCUCAAACUCCUCAGCUUCGGGUUUCCCAGGCGCAGCUCCGCUAUAAUUCACCGGACUGUCCGGUGUGCCACCGGACUGUCCGGUGCACCAGCGGAGCAACGACUAUCAGCGCGCAACGGUCGACUCUGACAGUGAACAGUACAGAAUAGUGAACGCGUCAGAAGUUAGACCAGUUGGUCAGAGGGGCACCGGACUGUCUGGUGCCACAUGAGGACAAAGCCUCCAACGGUCGACCAGCUCCAAGCCCUAACGACAAGAUGACGUGGCGGCGCACCGGACACUGUCCGGUGGCGCCCAUCACCAGCAGGCUUCUUCAACGACUACAAUUUGGUUGGUGGCUAUAAAUACCACCCCAACCGGCCACUUCAAGGUUUGGGAGCCCAAGCAACAUUCCAAGUCAUAUAGUUGACAUAUCCAAGCCCUCCCAACCACCUCUAUUCAUUGAUCCAUCCCAUACACAAGAUUUAGACCACUACAACCAACACAAGUGCCACAAAAGAGAAAGCAAGCAAGAGAGAGCUACUCAUUUGAGUUUAGCACUAGUGCCUUGUGAGAUUCAUUGAGAGAUAGUGUGUGCUACAUCUUUGUGUUCAUUUGCGCAUGGAGUUUUGACUCCCAUUGAACUUCCUCCAAAGUUUUGGAGGCUUGUAAAGCUAGCAAGAGACACCUAAGUGUGUGGUGAUCCUUGCGGGGUCUUAAGAGACACUUGAGAAGAAGAAGAGCUCGCUGAUCUUGGGGAUCGGUUGAGAGAGGGAAAGGGUUGAAAGAGACUCGUCCAUAGUGGACUCCUCAACGGGGACUAGGCCUUUGAGGGCCGAACCUCGGUAAAACAAAUCACCCGUGUCUCGUGUGUUUAUUACUUGUGAUUUGUUUGUUCUCUCUCUUUCUAAGUUUUCUUGCUCUAUUCUUUGCUAAUACUAUCUGGUGUUGCUUUAAGUUAAAUUCUUAUGUAGUGAAACAACACAUUGCAAGAAAGAACUUGUGUCAUUGCUCUUCUUAUUUAAGCCCCCUUGCUUUAUUCUCAUAGACCUAUUAGUUGUAUUGUUUAUCAAUUCCGCAUUAUUUGAAAGCAUACUCUUUACAAGCAAUGACUUAGUUUUAUACUCCGAUAAUUGUAUAUCUUAUUCUAAUCACUAAUCAAGGGAUCUAGUUGAGGGAUAAAGUUUUAAUUUUCAGGUUUCGCCUAUUCACCCCCCCCCCCUCUAGGCGACUUUCACCUUCAUCGAAGAAGAAAAAUGUACUAGGCAUGAUCUGGAGUAUAGCCACCUGCUAGCGGACAUAAAACUUAGUACAAAUAUUUCACAAACAUUUGCCAACAAUCAACAAAUCGCUCCUACACCUGAAACCAAGACCUGGUGGAAAACCUCCCACUCUGAACCACAUGUCAUACAGCAGCAACGCUGUUUGUUAAUUUUGUAUCUUUAAAAUUAUAACAGUGAUGAUAUCAAACAAAUACUCUAGGAUUAUCUACACAAAAUACUCUACAACUUCGGCAUUCGAUGGAUAAUUAAAUUCUGCCAUCUAUAAGUUCUAAAACAUCUGACAAGAUAACUAACUGAAUCUGUUUUAGACAGCAGCAUAGUUAACUUUCAAAAUUUGAUAUCUCACAAACUACUCAACCAAAAAUCAUGAAAUUCUGCUGGAAGUAAGAACUUGUAUCCCUCUACAAAAGUCUCCAUAGCUGGGAGAACCAAUUCGGCCAUUUACCUGAUGAAACCUACCAGUGAACAGACCCGCUCAUUUCUGUCAGGCCAACAGAAACAGCCACAGUAAAACAAACAUAACUGGAGUUUCAUAAUUCAUAUGAAUGCACUCUUUAAUAAUCUGGAAAGCUUAUGCAAUUAUCUACAUCUUUUCUUACAAACUCAAGGUUUAAUUCUGUAGAUAAAAUUGCCUAAAUCUUAAGAGAACAUAUUCUGCACAGAAUUAAGAGACUGGAAAACUGUUAUAAUCAAACUGCAAUAACUCUCUGAUCUGAUGUCCGAUUGAGGUGUUCUUUGCGGCCACGGAAAGAUCUACAAAUUAUCUACGACUCAUAUAUAGACUUUUUAUUUUUUUGAGGCCACUAAAAUCACAGAAAACUGGCAUAAACAGAAACUGUCGAAUCUGCCAUUCUGCAGAAAACUAAAUUCGAGAUCAAAACCUAACCCCACAUCUAAUCCAACCUCUAAUCCUUUAAUUCCCAUGAUCCACAACCUCCAAAAGCACAUAAUUAUAGGGAGGAACAAGGAUCUCAUCCAUACCUAGGGUUUCCCCAAGAAAUUCUGCAAGAAGAGAUGGGAAAGAACAUCUCCUUGAUCCUCUCUUCCCCUUCAAUUCAACGUGCUCCUCCUCUUCUCGAUCCUUGCUGCGUGGGGGAGAUCUAGAGGGAGGAGGAAGCCGUGGAGAGGGGCUGCCAUGGGAGGAGAGGAUGGCCAGCCCAAGGGGAAAGGAGGGAGGGGCGGCCAAGUGUGGGAGGGGGG
Molecule: long non-coding RNA, 25157 nt
Filed under: Zea mays
Lineage: Eukaryota; Viridiplantae; Streptophyta; Magnoliopsida; Poales; Poaceae
Description: long non-coding RNA (ZMAY_LNC002245)
Source: RNAcentral